AGAACGAACGCUGGCGGCAUGCCUAACACAUGCAAGUCGAACGCUUUUGGGGCUUCGGUCCCAAAGGAGUGGCGCACGGGUGAGUAGCGCGUGGGAACCUGCCCUGUUGUGGGGGAUAACCGAGGGAAACUUCGGCUAAUACCGCAUACGCCCCGGAGCAAUCCGGGGGAAAGAUUUAUCGCAGCAGGAGGGGCCCGCGUCGGAUUAGGUAGUUGGUGGGGUAACGGCCCACCAAGCCUGUGAUCCGUAGCUGGUCUGAGAGGAUGAUCAGCCACACUGGGACUGAGACACGGCCCAGACUCCUACGGGAGGCAGCAGUGGGGAAUAUUGGACAAUGGGCGCAAGCCUGAUCCAGCAAUGCCGCGUGAGUGAUGAAGGCCUUAGGGUUGUAAAGCUCUUCGCCGCGACGAUGAUGACGGUAGCGGGAGAAGAAGCCCGGCUAACUUCGUGCCAGCAGCCGC
RNAcentral lists this ribosomal RNA (461 nucleotides) under uncultured bacterium. RNAcentral's name for it is "SSU rRNA". It matches the Rfam family "Bacterial small subunit ribosomal RNA", at positions 26 to 518 of the family's 1533-position model. The record is from RNAcentral.